AGAGUUUGAUCCUGGCUCAGAACGAACGCUGGCGGCGUGCUUAACACAUGCAAGUCGAACGGGAUCCGGAGCUUGCUCCGGUGAGAGUGGCGCACGGGUGAGUAACGCGUGGAUAACCUGCCCUGGUAUCCGGAAUAACAUCUCGAAAGGGGUGCUAAUACCGGAUAAGCUUACGAUUCCCUCGGGUUUUGUGAGAAAAGGUGGCCUCUGUUUACAAGCUACCGUAUCAGGAUGGGUCCGCGUACCAUUAGCUAGUUGGUGGGGUAAUGGCCUACCAAGGCGACGAUGGUUAGCUGGUCUGAGAGGAUGAUCAGCCACACUGGAACUGAGACACGGUCCAGACUCCUACGGGAGGCAGCAGUGGGGAAUUUUGCGCAAUGGGGGAAACCCUGACGCAGCAACGCCGCGUGAGUGAUGAAGGCCUUCGGGUCGUAAAGCUCUGUCAGAGGGGAAGAAAUGGAUUCGGUUAAUACCCGGAUUUCUUGACGGUACCCUCAAAGGAAGCACCGGCUAACUCCGUGCCAGCAGCCGCGGUAAUACGGAGGGUGCAAGCGUUGUUCGGAUUUAUUGGGCGUAAAGCGCGUGUAGGCGGUCUCUUAAGUCUGAUGUGAAAGCCCUGGGCUCAACCCAGGAAGUGCAUUGGAUACUGGGAGACUUGAAUACGGGAGAGGGUAGUGGAAUUCCUAGUGUAGGAGUGAAAUCCGUAGAUAUUAGGAGGAACACCGGUGGCGAAGGCGGCUACCUGGACCGAUAUUGACGCUGAGACGCGAAAGCGUGGGGAGCAAACAGGAUUAGAUACC
This 800-nucleotide ribosomal RNA is filed under the name uncultured bacterium. RNAcentral's name for it is "bacterial SSU rRNA". It matches the Rfam family "Bacterial small subunit ribosomal RNA", at positions 8 to 786 of the family's 1533-position model. The record is from RNAcentral.